Molecule: ribosomal RNA, 471 nt
Filed under: uncultured bacterium
Lineage: Bacteria
Description: partial 16S ribosomal RNA
Rfam family: Bacterial small subunit ribosomal RNA
Source: RNAcentral
GACGAACGCUGGCGGCGUGCUUAACACAUGCAAGUCGAACGAUGAAGCCUAGCUUGCUAGGUGGAUUAGUGGCGAACGGGUGAGUAAUACGUGAGUAACCUACCUUUAACUCUGGGAUAAGCCUGGGAAACUGGGUCUAAUACCGGAUACGACCAAUCUCCGCAUGGGGUGUUGGUGGAAAGCGUUAUGUAGUGGUUAUAGAUGGGCUCACGGCCUAUCAGCUUGUUGGUGAGGUAACGGCUCACCAAGGCGACGACGGGUAGCCGGCCUGAGAGGGUGACCGGCCACACUGGGACUGCGACACGGCCCAGACUCCUACGGGAGGCAGCAGUGGGGAAUAUUGCACAAUGGGCGCAAGCCUGAUGCAGCGACGCCGCGUGAGGGAUGACGGCCUUCGGGUUGUAAACCUCUGUUAGCAGGGAAGAAGAGAAAUUGACGGUACCUGCAGAGAAAGCGCCGGCUAACUACGUG